Molecule: ribosomal RNA, 407 nt
Filed under: uncultured bacterium
Lineage: Bacteria
Description: partial 16S ribosomal RNA
Rfam family: Bacterial small subunit ribosomal RNA
Source: RNAcentral
AUUGAACGCUAGCGGCAUGCUUUACACAUGCAAGUCGAGCGGAGUGGCGGAAGGGUGAGUAAUAUAUCGGAACGUGCCCAGUAGCGGGGGAAAACUACUAGAAAGAGUGGCUAAUACCGCAUACUAUUGGAGAGGCCGAUAUCGGAUUAGCUAUUUGGUGGGUGAAAGGCUCACCAAGGCAACGAUCCGUAGUUGGCUAGAGAGGAUGACCAGCCACACUGGGACUGAGACACGGCCCAGACUCCUACGUGAGUCAGCAGUGGGGAAUUUUGGACAAUGGGGGAAACCCUGAUGCAGCCAUCCCGCGUGUAUGAUGAAGGCCUUCGGGUUGUAAAGUACUUUAGGCAGAGAAGCGGUAUCUGCAGAAUAAGCACCGGCUAACUACGUGCCAGCAGCCGCGGUAAUAC